AACAAUACAGGACUUUUUGGUUUUGUAAUUGGAAUGAGUUAAGUAUAAACCCCUUUACAAGUAUCAAUUGGAGGGCAAGUCUGGUGCCAGCAGCCGCGGUAAUUCCAGCUCCAAUAGCGUAUAUUAAAGUUGUUGCAGUUAAAAAGCUCGUAGUUGGAUUUCUGUUAAAUUGUUUAUAUACAAUAUUUUAAAAAUAUUUAUAUAACGUUAACAUAAUUCACAUUACUUCUUUUUUUUUUUUUAAAUAAAAGAAAAAAGUAUGUGAAAUUUUACUUUGAGAAAAUUAGAGUGCUUAAAG
RNAcentral lists this ribosomal RNA (298 nucleotides) under Cryptosporidium sp. P111. Its description in RNAcentral is "partial 18S ribosomal RNA". It matches the Rfam family "Eukaryotic small subunit ribosomal RNA", at positions 477 to 780 of the family's 1831-position model. The record is from RNAcentral. Lineage: Eukaryota; Apicomplexa; Conoidasida; Eucoccidiorida; Cryptosporidiidae.